Molecule: ribosomal RNA, 500 nt
Filed under: uncultured bacterium
Lineage: Bacteria
Description: partial 16S ribosomal RNA
Rfam family: Bacterial small subunit ribosomal RNA
Source: RNAcentral
AACGAACGCUGGCGGUAUGCUUAACACAUGCAAGUCGAACGGCAGCACGGGCUUCGGCCUGGUGGCGAGUGGCGGACGGGUGAGUAAUGCUUGGGAAUCUGCCUGGUGGUGGGGGAUAACGCGUCGACAGGGGCGCUAAUACCGCAUACGCUCUACGGAGGAAAGCGGGGGAUCUUCGGACCUCGCGCCAGUAGAUGAGCCCAAGUCCGAUUAGCUAGUUGGUAGGGUAAAGGCUUACCAAGGCGACGAUCGGUAGCUGGUCUGAGAGGACGAUCAGCCACACUGGGACUGAGACACGGCCCAGACUCCUACGGGAUGCAGCAGUGGGGAAUAUUGGACAAUGGGGGAAACCCUGAUCCAGCCAUGCCGCGUGUGUGAAGAAGGCCUUCGGGUUGUAAAGCACUUUUGGCGAGAACGAAACGGCGCUGGUUAAUACCUGGCGCUAAUGACGGUACUCGCAGAAUAAGCACCGGCUAACUACGUGCCAGCAGCCGCCGUAA